This 1285-nucleotide ribosomal RNA is filed under the name Heyndrickxia coagulans. Its description in RNAcentral is "bacterial SSU rRNA". It matches the Rfam family "Bacterial small subunit ribosomal RNA", at positions 207 to 1482 of the family's 1533-position model. The record is from RNAcentral. Lineage: Bacteria; Bacillati; Bacillota; Bacilli; Caryophanales; Bacillaceae.
ACGGCUGUCACUUACAGAUGGGCCCGCGGCGCAUUAGCUUGUUGGUGGGGUAACGGCUCACCAAGGCAACGAUGCGUAGCCGACCGGAGAGGGUGAUCGGCCACAUUGGGACUGAGACACGGCCAAAACUCCUACGGGAGGCAGCAGUAGGGAAUCUUCCGCAAUGGACGAAAGUCUGACGGAGCAACGCCGCGUGAGUGAAGAAGGCCUUCGGGUCGUAAAACUCUGUUGCCGGGGAAGAACAAGUGCCGUUCGAACAGGGCGGCGCCUUGACGGUACCCGGCCAGAAAGCCACGGCUAACUACGUGCCAGCAGCCGCGGUAAUACGUAGGUGGCAAGCGUUGUCCGGAAUUAUUGGGCGUAAAGCGCGCGCAGGCGGCUUCUUAAGUCUGAUGUGGAAUCUUGCGGCUCAACCGCAAGCGGUCAUUGGAAACUGGGAGGCUUGAGUGCAGAAGAGGAGAGUGGAAUUCCACGUGUAGCGGUGAAAUGCGUAGAGAUGUGGAGGAACACCAGUGGCGAAGGCGGCUCUCUGGUCUGUAACUGACGCUGAGGCGCGAAAGCGUGGGGAGCAAACAGGAUUAGAUACCCUGGUAGUCCACGCCGUAAACGAUGAGUGCUAAGUGUUAGAGGGUUUCCGCCCUUUAGUGCUGCAGCUAACGCAUUAAGCACUCCGCCUGGGGAGUACGGCCGCAAGGCUGAAACUCAAAGGAAUUGACGGGGGCCCGCACAAGCGGUGGAGCUUGUGGUUUAAUUCGAAGCAACGCGAAGAACCUUACCAGGUCUUGACAUCCUCUGACCUCCCUGGAGACAGGGCCUUCCCCUUCGGGGGACAGAGUGACAGGUGGUGCAUGGUUGUCGUCAGCUCGUGUCGUGAGAUGUUGGGUUAAGUCCCGCAACGAGCGCAACCCUUGACCUUAGUUGCCAGCAUUCAGUUGGGCACUCUAAGGUGACUGCCGGUGACAAACCGGAGGAAGGUGGGGAUGACGUCAAAUCAUCAUGCCCCUUAUGACCUGGGCUACACACGUGCUACAAUGGAUGGUUCAAAGGGCUGCGAGACCGCGAGGUUAAGCCAAUCCCAGAAAACCAUUCCCAGUUCGGAUUGCAGGCUGCAACCCGCCUGCAUGAAGCCGGAAUCGCUAGUAAUCGCGGAUCAGCAUGCCGCGGUGAAUACGUUCCCGGGCCUUGUACACACCGCCCGUCACACCACGAGAGUUUGUAACACCCGAAGUCGGUGAGGUAACCUUUACGGAGCCAGCCGCCGAAGGUGGGACAGAUGAUUGGGGUG